RNAcentral lists this ribosomal RNA (2120 nucleotides) under Salmonella enterica subsp. enterica serovar Braenderup. Its description in RNAcentral is "partial 23S ribosomal RNA". It matches the Rfam family "Bacterial large subunit ribosomal RNA", at positions 702 to 2802 of the family's 2925-position model. The record is from RNAcentral. Lineage: Bacteria; Pseudomonadati; Pseudomonadota; Gammaproteobacteria; Enterobacterales; Enterobacteriaceae.
GCAGGGUAUAGACCCGAAACCCGGUGAUCUAGCCAUGGGCAGGUUGAAGGUUGGGUAACACUAACUGGAGGACCGAACCGACUAAUGUUGAAAAAUUAGCGGAUGACCUGUGGCUGGGGGUGAAAGGCCAAUCAAACCGGGAGAUAGCUGGUUCUCCCCGAAAGCUAUUUAGGUAGCGCCUCGUGAAUUCAUCUCCGGGGGUAGAGCACUGUUUCGGCUAGGGGGCCAUCCCGGCUUACCAACCCGAUGCAAACUGCGAAUACCGGAGAAUGUUAUCACGGGAGACACACGGCGGGUGCUAACGUCCGUCGUGAAGAGGGAAACAACCCAGACCGCCAGCUAAGGUCCCAAAGUCAUGGUUAAGUGGGAAACGAUGUGGGAAGGCCCAGACAGCCAGGAUGUUGGCUUAGAAGCAGCCAUCAUUUAAAGAAAGCGUAAUAGCUCACUGGUCGAGUCGGCCUGCGCGGAAGAUGUAACGGGGCUAAACCAUGCACCGAAGCUGCGGCAGCGACGCUUAUGCGUUGUUGGGUAGGGGAGCGUUCUGUAAGCCUGCGAAGGUGGCCUGUGAGGGUUGCUGGAGGUAUCAGAAGUGCGAAUGCUGACAUAAGUAACGAUAAAGCGGGUGAAAAGCCCGCUCGCCGGAAGACCAAGGGUUCCUGUCCAACGUUAAUCGGGGCAGGGUGAGUCGACCCCUAAGGCGAGGCCGAAAGGCGUAGUCGAUGGGAAACGGGUUAAUAUUCCCGUACUUGGUGUUACUGCGAAGGGGGGACGGAGAAGGCUAUGUUGGCCGGGCGACGGUUGUCCCGGUUUAAGCGUGUAGGUGUGUGUUCCAGGUAAAUCCGGUUCACUUUAACACUGAGGCGUGACGACGAGGCACUACGGUGCUGAAGCAACAAAUGCCCUGCUUCCAGGAAAAGCCUCUAAGCAUCAGGUAACAUCAAAUCGUACCCCAAACCGACACAGGUGGUCAGGUAGAGAAUACCAAGGCGCUUGAGAGAACUCGGGUGAAGGAACUAGGCAAAAUGGUGCCGUAACUUCGGGAGAAGGCACGCUGACACGUAGGUGAAGUGAUUUACUCAUGGAGCUGAAGUCAGUCGAAGAUACCAGCUGGCUGCAACUGUUUAUUAAAAACACAGCACUGUGCAAACACGAAAGUGGACGUAUACGGUGUGACGCCUGCCCGGUGCCGGAAGGUUAAUUGAUGGGGUCAGCGCAAGCGAAGCUCCUGAUCGAAGCCCCGGUAAACGGCGGCCGUAACUAUAACGGUCCUAAGGUAGCGAAAUUCCUUGUCGGGUAAGUUCCGACCUGCACGAAUGGCGUAAUGAUGGCCAGGCUGUCUCCACCCGAGACUCAGUGAAAUUGAACUCGCUGUGAAGAUGCAGUGUACCCGCGGCAAGACGGAAAGACCCCGUGAACCUUUACUAUAGCUUGACACUGAACAUUGAGCCUUGAUGUGUAGGAUAGGUGGGAGGCUUUGAAGCGUGGACGCCAGUCUGCGUGGAGCCGACCUUGAAAUACCACCCUUUAAUGUUUGAUGUUCUAACGUGGACCCGUUACCCGGGUUGCGGACAGUGUCUGGUGGGUAGUUUGACUGGGGCGGUCUCCUCCUAAAGAGUAACGGAGGAGCACGAAGGUUGGCUAAUCCUGGUCGGACAUCAGGAGGUUAGUGCAAUGGCAUAAGCCAGCUUGACUGCGAGCGUGACGGCGCGAGCAGGUGCGAAAGCAGGUCAUAGUGAUCCGGUGGUUCUGAAUGGAAGGGCCAUCGCUCAACGGAUAAAAGGUACUCCGGGGAUAACAGGCUGAUACCGCCCAAGAGUUCAUAUCGACGGCGGUGUUUGGCACCUCGAUGUCGGCUCAUCACAUCCUGGGGCUGAAGUAGGUCCCAAGGGUAUGGCUGUUCGCCAUUUAAAGUGGUACGCGAGCUGGGUUUAGAACGUCGUGAGACAGUUCGGUCCCUAUCUGCCGUGGGCGCUGGAGAACUGAGGGGGGCUGCUCCUAGUACGAGAGGACCGGAGUGGACGCAUCACUGGUGUUCGGGUUGUCAUGCCAAUGGCACUGCCCGGUAGCUAAAUGCGGAAGAGAUAAGUGCUGAAAGCAUCUAAGCACGAAACUUGCCCCGA